UACGAAGGAUGCAAGCGUUAUCCGGAUUUAUUGGGUUUAAAGGGAGCGUAGGCGGUCUUAUAAGUCAGUGGUGAAAUCUCGUUGCUUAACAACGACCGUGCCAUUGAUACUGUAGGACUUGAGUACAGUUGCCGUUGGCGGAAUGUGUCAUGUAGCGGUGAAAUGCAUAGAUAUGACACAGAACACCGAUUGCGAAGGCAGCUGACGAAACUGUAACUGACGCUGAGGCUCGAAAGUGCGGGGAUCAAACAGG
Molecule: ribosomal RNA, 253 nt
Filed under: uncultured bacterium
Lineage: Bacteria
Description: partial 16S ribosomal RNA
Rfam family: Bacterial small subunit ribosomal RNA
Source: RNAcentral